RNAcentral lists this transfer RNA (59 nucleotides) under Lentibacter algarum. Its description in RNAcentral is "alpha proteobacterium ZXM100 tRNA". It matches the Rfam family "tRNA", at positions 7 to 64 of the family's 71-position model. From Rfam's summary of the family: Transfer RNA (tRNA) molecules are approximately 80 nucleotides in length. The record is from Rfam by way of RNAcentral. Lineage: Bacteria; Pseudomonadati; Pseudomonadota; Alphaproteobacteria; Rhodobacterales; Roseobacteraceae.
GUAGUUACAUAAGAGAGCAGCUGACUUCUAAUCAGCAGGUUGAGGGUUCGAGUCCUUCC